GAAUGCUGACAUAAGUAACGAUAAAGCGGGUGAAAAGCCCGCUCGCCGGAAGACCAAGGGUUCCUGUCCAACGUUAAUCGGGGCAGGGUGAGUCGACCCCUAAGGCGAGGCCGAAAGGCGUAGUCGAUGGGAAACGGGUUAAUAUUCCCGUACUUGGUGUUACUGCGAAGGGGGGACGGAGAAGGCUAUGUUGGCCGGGCGACGGUUGUCCCGGUUUAAGCGUGUAGGUGUGUGUUCCAGGUAAAUCCGGUUCACUUUAACACUGAGGCGUGACGACGAGGCACUACGGUGCUGAAGCAACAAAUGCCCUGCUUCCAGGAAAAGCCUCUAAGCAUCAGGUAACACGAAAUCGUACCCCAAACC
This 363-nucleotide ribosomal RNA is filed under the name Salmonella enterica. RNAcentral's name for it is "partial 23S ribosomal RNA". It matches the Rfam family "Bacterial large subunit ribosomal RNA", at positions 1292 to 1655 of the family's 2925-position model. Lineage: Bacteria; Pseudomonadati; Pseudomonadota; Gammaproteobacteria; Enterobacterales; Enterobacteriaceae. RNAcentral also lists the same sequence under 1 other name. The record is from RNAcentral.